UUGAAUUUUAAUGAAGAGUUUGGUUGUAGCUGGCCCAUUCAUUUGGGCAUGUGCACACCUUCCUCUUUCAUCCCACACACACCUGUGAACCUGUGAGACAGAGAUGGGGAAUUUACUUGCUACUUUUUGGAAUACAAAGGCAAUAGGUUAUUGGACCCCCCCUCUGUCUACUCAAUUAAUAUAAACUCAAUUUAUUUUAAAAAACGAAUGUAAUGGAUGUAACACAUCUCAUAC
Molecule: unclassified non-coding RNA, 234 nt
Filed under: soil metagenome
Description: partial internal transcribed spacer 1
Source: RNAcentral